AACGAACGCUGGCGGCAUGCCUAACACAUGCAAGUCGAACGAAGGCUUCGGCCUUAGUGGCGCACGGGUGCGUAACGCGUGGGAAUCUGCCCCUCGGUUCGGAAUAACAGUUAGAAAUGACUGCUAAUACCGGAUGAUGACUUCGGUCCAAGGAUUUAUCGCCGAGGGAUGAGCCCGCGUAAGAUUAGGUAGUUGGUGGGGUAAAGGCCUACCAAGCCGAAGAUCUUUAGCUGGUCUGAGAGGAUGAUCAGCCACACUGGGACUGAGACACGGCCCAGACUCCUACGGGAGGCAGCAGUGGGGAAUAUUGGACAAUGGGCGAAAGCCUGAUCCAGCAAUGCCGCGUGAGUGAUGAAGGCCUUAGGGUUGUAAAGCUCUUUUACCAGGGAUGAUAAUGACAGUACCUGGAGAAUAAGCUCCGGCUAACUCCGUGCCAGCCGCCGCGGUAA
RNAcentral lists this ribosomal RNA (449 nucleotides) under uncultured bacterium. RNAcentral describes it as "partial 16S ribosomal RNA". It matches the Rfam family "Bacterial small subunit ribosomal RNA", at positions 29 to 523 of the family's 1533-position model. The record is from RNAcentral.